AACCCCUCGCCGUCGCCGCACCGCCGCCGCGCCGCCUCCGCGCUCUCCCCGUCCAAAUCCACCAACGCCAAUGCCGACGCCCGGGCCGCCAGGCCCCGCCCCAAGGCCGUCCCCUCCCGCUACCUCCUCGCGCCCUCCUCCAACUCCACAUCCACCUCCACCUCCACAUCCACAUCCACCACCACCACCACCACCUCCUCCAACUCCACCUCCACCUCGGCCGCCACGCCCUCCCGCCGCUUCGCGUCGCCGCUGCCCAGGCGCUCCUCGUCCGUCGACCGCCCGCGCCCCGCGGGGGGCAAUGCCGCCGCCGCCGACGCCGCGGGGCCCAACGGGGCCACCACCACCACCACCAGGAGCCUCUCCGUCGCCUUCCAGGGCCGCUCCUACUUCCUCGAGACCAGCAAGGCCAAGCCGGCCAUGUCCCCCUCGCCGGUGCGCCGGCCCGCGGCGCCGCCGGUGGCUUCCACCACGCCGGAGAGGAGGCGGCCUGCUGCGGGCGCGGUGCCGGAGAGGGCCAAGGGGUCCGAAGGGGGCCAUACCCACCAGAGGUGGCCAAUGUCGGCACACGGGUUCGAGGGGAACCCGCUCACCAAGAGCCUCGACUGCUCCUUGGACAAGAAGGGCGCUGCUGUCCUGGCCGCUGUCAGAUCGCUGCGGCAGUCCAUGGCGUUCGACGACGGGGUGCGCCGCACCUCGUUUGACAGCGGGGACUACUUGAUGUCGUCGGACACUGAGAGCUUGUCAUCAGGGAGCAAUUCCGAGUCCCAGGAUGCCGGCAAUGGCGUUGCUCACAGAGCACGCCCAUCAACAAAGGGGAUGAGUGUGCCUGCACGCUUCUUGCAUGAUGCUGCUGGCAGCAGGAUGCAUCGCUUUGCAGACCCAGGCACACCCUACGUGACACAUAAUAAUUCUGGAUUGGCAUUGUCACCAAGAUCAGCGCCGGUGAAGAAGUCGCUGUUGAAUGGGUUUGUUUCGUCUCCACUCAACAGACCAGUUAGGCAGUCUUCACCAAGUAAGCUUGUGGGCAAUUCAUCGAGGAGAAUGUCAAGUCCAUCCCGCCCAAGGAACUCCAUGGGGACGAGUGCGUCAACGUGGGAUCAGCAGGGAAGAAAUUCGUCUGGUUACGGUAGGAGGUGGGUUGGGGGUAGUAAGGUUGAUGGGGAGCACCUAUUGAGAAUCUUGUGCAAUAGACAUUUGCAGUGGCGGUGUGUAAAUGCGCAGGCUGAUGCCACACUUGCUUCACAGAAGAUGACUGCAGAGAAAGACCUAUGUGAUGCAUGGAUUACUACCCUAAGCAUGCGCAAAUCUGUUGCUCUUAAAAGGUUACAGCUACAAUUAUUCCGAAACAAUUGGAAACUCAUGACGGUUCUAAAGGGACAGAUGCCAUAUUUGGAGGAGUGGUCUUCACUAGAGAUGGAGUAUGCAGAUUCAAUAUCUGGAAUUGUGGAAGCUCUAACUGCCACCAUUCUGUGCCUUCCUGUCGAUGGAGCAAAGGCCGAUAUCCAAGAUGUAAAAAAUGCUGUUGGAUCUGCAAUUGAUAUCAUGCAAACAAUAGGAAGUUCAAUAUGUUCGUUGCUGGCUAAGCUAUCUGGGACAAGUAUUUUGGUGUCUGAUCUUGCCAGAAUCGCCACACAAGAGCGGUCUCUAAUGGACCAGUCCAGGGAACUGCUGUCCACACUCGCAUCAAUGCACGUCAAGUACUGUAGCCUGCAAGGGCAGCGAGUACAGACAACUCACAGGAGGCUCAAGCACUCGUAG
Molecule: ribosomal RNA, 1761 nt
Filed under: Triticum aestivum (bread wheat)
Lineage: Eukaryota; Viridiplantae; Streptophyta; Magnoliopsida; Poales; Poaceae
Description: partial small subunit ribosomal RNA
Source: RNAcentral